CAGCAUGCUAUAGGUUGGAUCUGGAGCAUCCCUCUAAGGCCCAUGUAUCAAAGCACCAGCCCACUGGGAGCGCCACCUACUGGAGAACCUUAGGAGGUGGAGCCUAGUGGGAGGAAGUUAGGUCUUUGGGGGUGUGUCCUUGAAGGGGAGAUUGAACCCCGCCCUUUCUUCUCUCUUUCCUUCCUGUCUUCCAUGAGGUGAGAAGCUUUGUGUUCUACCUUAUCAGGCCCCAAACAAGAAGCAAGUAACCAUGGACAGAAACUUCCAAAAUGAUGAGCCAAAAUAAAUCCUCCUUUUAAGUAAAUUAUUUCAGAUAGUUUGUGAUAGUAACAGCAAACUGGCUAACACGGAUGGAGAAAAGCCAUAAAUAAGAAAUUUAAGGAAUAGAAAAAUGGAUAACUAUAGAUCCUAACAUAUUAUAGGGAUAGGGAGUGAAUCUAACUUUAGUCAAUUAUCUUGAAAAAUAUGAAGACUUGGGCACAUUUCUGGAAAAAUAAAACAAAAAAUUGAUAGAAACUAGACUUCAAACAAUUUUAAAAAAUUGAAUCUAUAAUUUAAAUUUUUCCUUCAAAGAAAAUUCCAGUCUCAGAUGACUUUACUGGCAAAUCUAUUAAUUCUGUAAAAAAAAAAAAAUUCCAACAUUAUUCAAAUUCUUUUUAAAUUUUGUUUAAACUGGGGGUUGUGAACCCAAGGAUGCUUUACUACUGAGUUCUCC
Molecule: long non-coding RNA, 715 nt
Filed under: Marmota monax (woodchuck)
Lineage: Eukaryota; Metazoa; Chordata; Mammalia; Rodentia; Sciuridae
Source: RNAcentral